Molecule: ribosomal RNA, 800 nt
Filed under: uncultured bacterium
Lineage: Bacteria
Description: bacterial SSU rRNA
Rfam family: Bacterial small subunit ribosomal RNA
Source: RNAcentral
AGAGUUUGAUCCUGGCUCAGAUUGAACGCUGGCGGAAUGCUUUACACAUGCAAGUCGAACGGCAGCACGAGAGCUUGCUCUUGGUGGCGAGUGGCGAACGGGUGAGUAAUAUAUCGGAACGUAUCCAAUAAUGGGGGAUAACUAAUCGAAAGGUUAGCUAAUACCGCAUACGCCCUACGGGGGAAAGCAGGGGAUCUUCGGACCUUGCGUUAAUGGAGCGGCUGAUAUCUGAUUAGCUAGUAGGUGAGGUAAAGGCUCACCUAGGCUUCGAUCAGUAGCUGGUCUGAGAGGACGACCAGCCACACUGGAACUGAGACACGGUCCAGACUCCUACGGGAGGCAGCAGUGGGGAAUUUUGGACAAUGGGCGCAAGCCUGAUCCAGCCAUUCCGCGUGAGUGAAGAAGGCCUUCGGGUUGUAAAGCUCUUUCGCAAGGGAAGAAACGAUACCGACGAAUAAUCGGUGUUAAUGACGGUACCUUGAUAAGAAGCACCGGCUAACUACGUGCCAGCAGCCGCGGUAAUACGUAGGGUGCGAGCGUUAAUCGGAAUUACUGGGCGUAAAGCGUGCGCAGGCGGUUUUGUAAGUCAGAUGUGAAAUCCCCGGGCUCAACCUGGGAACUGCGUUUGAAACUACAAGGCUAGAGUAUGGUAGAGGGGGGUAGAAUUCCACGUGUAGCAGUGAAAUGCGUAGAGAUGUGGAGGAAUACCAAUGGCGAAAGCAGCCCCCUGGACUAAUACUGACGCUCAUGCACGAAAGCGUGGGGAGCAAACAGGAUUAGAUACCCUGGUAGUCCACGCC